Lolium perenne is the source of this 993-nucleotide long non-coding RNA. RefSeq lists it as uncharacterized. The record is from RefSeq and is a predicted model, not a curated record. NCBI's taxonomy places the organism in Eukaryota, Viridiplantae, Streptophyta, Magnoliopsida, Poales, Poaceae.
UCCCACUCCUGUUAGGAGCAUUCUAGGUGUACCGUUUUUCAUGGCCAGAUCUGAAUUCAUGUCAUGUGCUUUCAACAACCUAAUUAUAAGAAUGCCAAGAAGAAGCAAUUGUCGAGCCGCUCAUCUAGAGACGCAUCUUCCAGGGGCUUCUCAUGAGGCACGCUGGGUGGAAUGGCUAGCUUCGUUGGAGGAAUGGGUGGUGGUAUGCCUCGGGGAAUGGGUGGUGGUAUGCCUCGGGGAAUGGGUGGUGGUAUGCCUGGAGGGGCUCCCGAUCCCGAUGUUAGCAUUUGGUGACCGUGUGGUCACAUCAGCUCUUCAAGUGGCUACAGUUUCCCUGAAAUAGUUCCUCCGCUUCCUUUAUGCAAUUCCCUUGUUAUUUUAACUAAUAUACUAUGUGCUGGCUGUUGGGUCCCACCUUUAUGCAACUUGGAUGAUAUGUUUGCUACUUGUGCCUUGUUGCUUUUUUAUGCAGCAGAAGCAUACUGCAUAUCCUUUGGGUGCUUGAACAGACGUCGAGUUGUUCGAGGAAAGGAAACCUAAAAUUGAUAUCAUGUAGGUGUGGAUGGGAUAUUUCCACUAAAUACUUGACAGCGGCAGCAAUCCCAGUGACGAAGGAGGUGUCCUUGUUAAACCGGUGGCUUGUGUAGGCGAUGGAGCAGCAGGUUGGCGUGCCGCUUGUGAAGGUGCGAAGUGGUGCUGUACGUUGGAACCGCCUGGCCGACAUGCUUUCUUCUAUGAUAUUUCUUGUAGUUGGUUAGGUCAAAUGCUGGGCUCGAGCAUCUUUUAGUUUUGCCGUUGGAUGUUUGUUUCCUAGAGACAUGAGCUAGCUUAUUGAUGUCGUGGACCUGGUGCGUUGGCUCCACUUUAGGUUUAUAAGCUACAUGUAGAUAUGUUUAUUCUGUGCUUUGGCAAGACAGACUUGUCAUGGCCCAUGAGUUGUAUUGAUACAAAAUUUUAAUUGAAAUACAAGUUCUUGACGGUGUUUCAAGUUAA